Molecule: ribosomal RNA, 248 nt
Filed under: Trypanosoma cruzi
Lineage: Eukaryota; Euglenozoa; Kinetoplastea; Trypanosomatida; Trypanosomatidae
Description: partial 12S ribosomal RNA
Rfam family: Trypanosomatid mitochondrial large subunit ribosomal RNA
Source: RNAcentral
AAGAGAACGUGAGAUAUACGUAAUGUAAUGUAAUGUUGAUUNGGGCAAUACUAUAUUAUUAUAUAGGAGAGAAGUAUAAUUAUUGAAAUAAUAAAAGGUCCGAGCAGGUAACAAGCAUUAAUACUAAAUGUGUUUCUACGUCUACUUAUUGGUAAACAAAUUGAUGUCAUCAAAUUUGCAAUUCGUUAGUUGGGUUAAAAGUCGUUGUAAAGCAGAUUUGUUUAUAUAUUUAAUUAAUAUAGGUAGUU